Molecule: long non-coding RNA, 8369 nt
Organism: Cyprinus carpio carpio
Lineage: Eukaryota; Metazoa; Chordata; Actinopteri; Cypriniformes; Cyprinidae
Source: Ensembl
AUGGUUGCUGCUGUGGUCGUGCCCGAUGCAGUUGCUGGCAAUGCUGAUGUCACUGGUAAAAAUGUAGAAGCUUUGGGUGUAGUAGCCGACUCUACUAAGCCUGUUGUUGUUGUCACUGUAUUUUCUGUUGUAGUUAUCCUGAUUGUUUUCUGUUCAUUGCUAACAGUUGCUGAUGUGGUUUUGUCCAGUGCAGUUGCAUGCAAAGCUGAUGUUACUGGUGCAAAUGUAGAAGUUCUUGCUGUAGUAGCAGACACUAUUCGGCCUGUUGUUGUUGUCACUGUAUUUCCAGUUGUAGCUAUCCUGAUUGUUUCCGGUUCAUUGCUAACAGUUGCUGAUGUGGUUGUGCCCAAUGCAGUUGCUGGCAAUGCUGAUGUCACCGGUGCAAAUGUAGAAGCUUUGGGUGUAGUAGCAGACUCUACUAGAACUGUUGUUGUUGUCACUGUAUUUUCUGUUGUAGUUAUACUGAUUGUUUCCGGUACAUUGCUAAUAGUUGCUGAUGUGGUUGUGCCCAAUGCAGUUGCAUGUAAAGCAGAUGUCACUGGUACAAACGUAGAAGCUUUAGUUGUAGUAGUAGACUCUACUAGGCCUGUUGUCAUUGUCAAUGUAUCUUCUGUGGUAGCUAUCCUGAUUGUUUCCGGUUCAUUGCUAACAGUUGCUGAUGUGGUUGUGCCCAAUGCAGUUGCCGGCAAAGCUGAUGUUACUGGUGCAAAUGUAGAAUUUUUUGCUGUAGAAGCAGACACUUUUUGGCCUGUUGAUGUUGUCACUGUAUUUUCUGUUGUAGUUAUGCUGACUGUUUCCGGUACAUUGCUAACAGUUGCUGAUGUGGUUGUGCCCAAUGCAGUUGCAUGUAAAGCAGACGUCACAGGUACAAAUGUAGAAGCUUUAGGUGUAGAAGCAGACUCUACUAGGCCUGUUGUCAUUGUCACUGUAUCUUCUGUUGUAGUUAUCCUGAUUGUUUCUGGCUCAUUGCUAACAGUUGCUGAUGUGGUUAUGCCCAAUGCAGUUGCUGGCAAUGCUGAUGUCACCGGUACCAAGGUAGAAGCUUUGGGUGUAGUAGCAGACUCUACUAGGCCUGUUGUUGUUGACACUGUAUUUUCUGUUGCAGUUAUCCUGAUUGUUUCCGGUUCAUUGUUAACAAUUGCUGAUGUGGCUGUGCCCAAUGCAGUUGCUGGCAAGGCUGAUGUCACUUGUAGAAAUGUAGAAGCUUUGGGUGUAGUAGCCGAAUCUACUAGGUCUGUUGUUGUUGUCACUGUAUUUCCUGUUGUAGCUAUCCUGAUUGUUUCCGGUUCAUUGCUAACAGUUGCUGAUGUGGUUGUGCCCAAUGCAGUUGCCGGCAAAGCUGAUGUUGCUGGUGCAAAUGUAGAAGUUUUUGCUGUAGAAGCAGACACUAUUCGGCCUGUUGAUGUUGUCACUGUAUUUUCUGUUGCAGUUAUCCUGAUUGUUUCCAGUCCAUUGCUAACAGUUGCUGAUGUGGUUGUGCCCAAUGCAGAUGCUGGCAAAGCUGAUGUUACUGGUGCAAAUGUAGAAGUUUUUGCUGUAGUAGCAGACACUAUUCGGCCUGUUGAUGUUGUCCCUGUAUUUCCAGUUGUAGCUAUCCUGAUUGUUUCCUGUUCAUUGCUAAGAGUUGCUGAUGUGGUUGUGCCCAAUUCAGUUUCUGACAAAGCUGAUGUUAAUGGUGCAAAUGUAGAAGUUUUUGCUGUAGUAGCAGACACUAUUCGGCCUGUUGUUGUUGUCACUGUAUUUUCUGUUGUAGUUAUACUGAUUGUUUCCGGUACAUUACUAACAGUUGCUGAUGUGGUUGUGCCCAAUGCAGUUGCUGGCAAUGCUGAUGUCACCGGUACCAAGGUAGAAGCUUUGGGUGUAGUAGCCGACUCUACUAGGCCUGUUGUUGUUGUCUCUGUAUUUUCUGUUGUAGUUAUACUGAUUGUUUCCGGUACAUUACUAACAGUUGCUGAUGUGGUUGUGCCCAAUGCAGUUGCAUGUAAAGCAGAUGUCACUGGUACAAAUGUAGAAGCUUUGGGUGUACUAGCAGACUGUACUACACCUGUUGUUGUCACUGUAUCUUCUGUUGUAGCUAUCCUGAUUGUUUCCUGUUUAUUGCUAAGAGUUGCUGAUGUGGUUGUACUCAAUGCAGUUGCUGGCAAAGCUGAUGUCACUGGUAAAAAUGUAGAAGCUUUGGGUCUAGUAGCAGACUCUACUAGACCUGUUGUUGUUGUCACUGAAUCAUCUGUUGUAGUUAUCCUUAUUGUUUCUGGCUCAUUGCUAACAGUUGCUGAUGUGGUUGUGCCCAAUGCAGUUGCUGGCAAUGCUGAUGUCACUUGUAGAAAUGUAGAAGCUUUGGGUGUAUUUGCCGACUCUACUAGGCCUGUUGUUGUUCUCACUGCAUUUCCUGUUGUAGCUAUCCUGAUUGUUUCCGGUUCAUUGCUAAUAGUUGCUGAUGUGGUUGUGCCCAGUGCAGUUGCUGGCAAUACUGAUGUCACCUGUCCAAAUGUAGAAGCUUUGGGUGUAGUAGGAGACUCUAUUAAGCCUGUUGUUGUUGUCACUGUGUCUUCUGUUGUAGUUAUCCUGAUUGUUUCCUGUUCAUUGCUAAGAGUUGCUGAUGUGGUUGGGCCCAAUGCAGUUGCUGGCAAAGCUGAUGUUACUGGUGCAAAUGUAGAAGUUUUUGCUGUAGUAGCAGACACUAUUCGGCCUGUUGAUGUUGUCACUGUAUUUCCGGAUGUAGCUAUCCUGAUUGUUUCCAGUCCAUUGCUAACAGUUGCUGAUGUGGUUGUGCCCAAUGCAGUUGCAUGUAAAGCAGAUGUCACUGGUACAAAUGUAGAAGCUUUGGGUGUACUAGCAGACUGUACUACACCUGUUGUUGUCAAUGUAUCUUCUGUUGUAGCUAUCCUGAUUGUUUCCUGUUUAUUGCUAAGAGUUGCUGAUGUGGUUGUGCUCAAUGCAGUUGCUGGCAAUGCUGAUGUCACCUGUCCAAAUGUAGAAGCUUUGGGUGUAGUAGGAGACUCUAUUAAGCCUGUUGUUGUUGUCACUGUGUCUUCUGUUGUAGCUAUCCUGAUUGUUUCCUGUUCAUUGCUAAGAGUUGCUGAUGUGGUUGUGCCCAGUGCAGUUGCUGGCAAAGCUGAUGUUUCUGGUGCAAAUGUAGAAGUUUUUGCUGUAGUACCAGACACUCUUCGGCCUGUUGUUGUUGUCACUGAAUCCUCUGUUGUAGUUAUCCUUAUUGUUUCUGGCUCAUUGCUAACAGUUGCUGAUGUGGUUGUGCUCAAUGCAGUUGCUGGCAAAGCUGAUGUCACUGGUAAAAAAGUAGAAGCUUUGGGUGUAGUAGCAGACUCUACUAGGCCUGAUGUUGUUGUCUCUGUAUUUUCUGUUGCAGUUAUAAUGAUUGUUUCCAGUCUAUUGCUAACAGUUGCUGAUGUGGUUGUGCCCAAUGCAGAUGCUGGCAAAGCUGAUGUUACUGGUGCAAAUGUAGAAGUUCUUGCUGUAGUAGCAGACACUAUUCGGCCUGUUGUUGUUGUCACUGUAUUUCCAGUUGUAUCUAUCCUGAUUGUUUCCGGUUCUUUGCUAACAGUUGCUGAUGUGGUUGUGCCCAAUGCAGUUGCUGGCAAUGCUGAUGUCACCGGUGCAAAUGUAGAAGCUUUGGGUGUAGUAGCAGACUCUACCAAGCCUGUUGUUGUUGUCACUGUAUUUUCUGUUGUAGUUAUACUGAUUGUUUCCGGUACAUUGCUAAUAGUUGCUGAUGUGGUUGUGCCCAAUGCAGUUGCAUGUAAAGCAGAUGUCACUGGUACAAACGUAGAAGCUUUAGUUGUAGUAGCAGACUCUACUAGGCCUGUUGUCAUUGUCAAUGUAUCUUCUGUUGUAGUUAUUCUGAUUGUUUCCGGCUCAUUGCUACCAGUUGCUGAUGUGGUUGUGCCCAAUGCAGUUGCUGGCAAUGCUGAUGUUACUUGUAGAAAUGUAGAAGCUUUGGGUGUAGUAGCCGACUCUACUAGGCCUGUUGUUGUUGUCACUGUAUUUCCUGUUGUAGCUAUCCUGAUUGUUUCCGGUUCAUUGCUAACAGUUGCUGAUGUGGUUGUGCCCAAUGCAGUUGCUGGCAAAACUGAUGUUACCGGUGCAAAUGUAGAAGUUUUUGCUGUAGAAGCAGACACUAUUCGGCCUGUUGAUGUUGUCACUGUAUUUUCUGUUGUAGUUAUACUGAUUGUUUCCGGUACAUUGCUAACAGUUGCUGAUGUGGUUGUGCCCAAUGCAGUUGCUGGCAAAGCUGAUGUCACUGGUAAAAAUGUAGAAGCUUUGGGUCUAGUAGCAGACUCUACUAGACCUGUUGUUGUUGUCACUGUAUCUUCUGUUGUAGUUAUCCUGAUAGUUUCUGGCUCAUUGCUAACAGUUGCUGGUGUGGUUGUGCCCAAUGCAGUUGCUGGCAAUGCUGAUUUCACCGGUACCAAGGUAGAAGCUUUGGGUGUAGUAGCAGACUCUACUAGGCCUGUUGUUGUUGUCUCUGUAUUUUCUGUUGCAGUUAUCCUGAUUGUUUCCAGUCCAUUGCUAACAGUUGCUGAUGUGGUUGUGCCCAAUGCAGAUGCUGGCAAAGCUGAUGUUACUGGUGCAAAUGUAGAAGUUUUUGCUGUAGUAGCAGACACUAUUUGGCCUGUUGUUGUUGUUGUCACUGUAUCUUCUGUUGUAGUUAUCCUGAUAGUUUCUGGCUCAUUGCUAACAGUUGCUGGUGUGGUUGUGCCCAAUGCAGUUGCUGGCAAUGCUGAUUUCACCGGUACCAAGGUAGAAGCUUUGGGUGUAGUAGCAGACUCUACUAGGCCUGUUGUUGUUGUCUCUGUAUUUUCUGUUGCAGUUAUCCUGAUUGUUUCCAGUCCAUUGCUAACAGUUGCUGAUGUGGUUGUGCCCAAUGCAGAUGCUGGCAAAGCUGAUGUUACUGGUGCAAAUGUAGAAGUUUUUGCUGUAGUAGCAGACACUAUUUGGCCUGUUGAUGCUGUCACUGUAUUUCCGGUUGUAGCUAUCCUGAUUGUUUCCGAUUCAUUGCUAACAGUUGCUGAUGUGGUUGUGCCCAAUGCAGUUGCUGGCAAUGCUGAUGUUACCUGUGCAAAUGUAGAAUCGUUGGGUGUAGUAGCAGACUCUACUAAGCCUGUUGUUGUUGUUGUCACUGAAUCUUCUGUUGUACUUAUCCUGAUUGUUUCCGAUUCAUUGCUAACAGUUGCUGAUGUGGUUGUGCCCAGUGCAGUUGCUGGCAAUACUGAUGUUACUGGUGCAAAUGUAGAAGUUUUUGCUGUAGUAGCAGACACUAAUAGGCCUGUUGAUGUUGUCGCUGUAUUUUCUGUUGUAGUUGUCCUGAUUGUUUCAAGUCCAUUGCUAACAGUUGCUGAUGUGGUUGUGCCCAAUGCAGUUGCAUGUAAAACAGAUGUCACUGGUACAAAUGUAGAAGCUUUGGGUGUACUAGCAGACUGUACUACACCUGUUGUUGUCACUGUAUCUUCUGUUGGAGUUAUCUUGAUUGUUUCCAGUCCAUUGCUAACAGUUGCUGAUGUGGUUGUGCCCAAUGCAGAUGCUGGCAAAACUGAUGUUACUAGUGAAAAUGUAGAAGUUUUUGCUGUAGUAGCAGACACUAUUCGGCCUGUUGAUAUUGUCACUGUAUUUCCUGUUGUAGCAAUCCUGAUUGUUUCCUGUUCAUUGCUAAGAGUUGCUGAUGUGGUUGUGCCCAGUGCAGCUGCUGGCAAAGCUGAUGUUUCUGGUGCAACUGUAGAAGUCUUUGCUGUAGUACUAGACCCUCUUCGGCCUGUUGUUGUUGUCACUGUAUUUCCUGUUGUAGCUAUCCUGAUUGUUUCCUGUUCAUUGCUAAGAGUUGCUGAUGUGGUUGUGCCCAAUGCAGUUGCAUGUAAAGCAGAUGUCACUGGUACAAAUGUAGAAGCUUUGGGUGUAGUAGCAGACUCUACUAGGCCUGUUGUCGUUGUCACUGUAUCUUCUGUUGUAGUUAUUCUGAUUGUUUCUGGCUCAUUGAUAACAGUUGCUGAUGUGGUUGUGCUCAAUGCAGAUGCUGGCAAAGCUGAUGUUACUGGUGCAAAUGUAGAAGUUUUUGCUGUAGUAGCAGACACUAUUCGGCCUGUUGUUGUUGUCACUGUAUUUCCUGUUGUAGCUAUCCUGAUUGUUUCCGGUUCAUUGCUAACAGUUGCUGAUGUGGUUGUGCCCAAUGCAGUUGCUGGCAAAGCUGAUGUUACUGGUGCAAAUGUAGAAGUUUUUGCUGUAGAAGCAGACACUAUUCGGCCUGUUGAUGUUGUCACUGUAUUUUCUGUUGUAGUUAUGCUGAUUGUUUCCGGUACAUUGCUAACAGUUGCUGAUGUGGUUGUGCCCAAUGCAGUUGCAUGUAAAGCAGAUGUCACAGGUACAAAUGUUGAAGCUUUGGGUGUAGAAGCAGACUCUACUAGGCCUGUUGUUGUUGUCACUGUAUCGUCUGUUGUAGUUAUCCUGAUUGUUUCCUGUUCAUUGCUAAGAGUUACUGAUGUGGUUGUGCCCAAUGCAGUUGCUGGAAAAGCUGAUGUUACUGGUGCAAAUGUAGAAGUUUUUGCUGUAGAAGCAGACACUAUUCGGCCUGUUGAUGUUGUCACUGUAUUUUCUGUUGUAGUUAUACUGAUUGUUUCCGGUACAUUGCUAACAGUUGCUGAUGUGGUUGUGCCCAAUGCAGUUGCUGGCAAAGCUGAUGUCACUGGUAAAAAUGUAGAAGCUUUGGGUCUAGUAGCAGACUCUACUAGACCUGUUGUUGUUGUCACUGUAUCUUCUUUUGUAGUUAUCCUGAUAGUUUCUGGCUCAUUGCUAACCGUUGCUGGUGUGGUUGUGCCCAAUGCAGUUGCUGGCAAUGCUGAUGUCACCCGUACCAAGGUAGAAGCUUUGGGUGUAGUAGCAGACUCUACUAGGCCUGUUGUUGUUGUCUCUGUAUUUUCUGUUGCAGUUAUCCUGAUUGUUUCCAGUCCAUUGCUAACAGUUGCUGAUGUGGUUGUGCCCAAUGCAGUUAGUGGCAAAGCUGAUGUCACUGGUGCAAAAGUAGAAGCUUUGGGUCUAGUAGCAGACUCUGCUAGAACUGUUGUUGUUGUCACUGUAUCUUCUGUUGUAGUUAUCCUGAUUGUUUCUGGUUGGUUGCUAACAGUUGCUGAUGUGCUUGUGUCCAAUGCAGUUGACGGCAAUGCUGAUCUCAGUGGUACAAAAGUAGAAUCUUUGGGUGUAGUAGCAGACUCUUUUAGGCCUGUUAUUGUUGUCACUGUAUCUUCUAUUGUAGUUAUCCUGAUUGUUUCUGGCUCAUUGCUAACAGUUGCUGAUAUGGUUGUGCCCAAUGCAGUUGCUGGCAAUGCUGAUGUCACUGGUAAAAUUGUGGAAGCUUUGGGUGUAGUAGCAGACUCUUUUAGGCCUGUUGUUGUUGUCACUGGAUCUUCUGUUGUAGUUAUCCUGAUUUUUUCUGGCUCAUUGCUAACAGUUGCUGAUGUGGUUGUGCCCAAUGCAGUUGCUGGCAAAGUUGAUGUCACUUGUAGAAAUGUAGAAGCUUUGGGUGUAGUAGCAGACUCUACUUGGCCUGUUGAUAUUGUCACUGUAUCUUCUAUUGUAGUUAUCCUGAUUGUUUCUGGCUCAUUGCUAACAGUUCCUGAUAUGGUUGUGCCCAAUGCAGUUGCUGGCAAUGCUGAUGUCACUGGUAAAAUUGUGGAAGCUUUGGGUGUAGUAGCAGACUCUACUAGACCUGUUGUUGUUUUCACUGUAUCUUCUGUUGUAGUUAUCCUGAUUGUUUCCGGCUCAUUGCUAACAGUUGCUGAUGUGGUUGUGCCCAGUGCAGUUGUUGGCAAUGCUGAUGUCACCUGUACAAAUGUAGAAGCUUUGGGUGUAGUAGCAGACUCUAUUAGGCCUGUUGUUGUUGUCGCUGUAUCUUCUGUUGUAGUUAUUCUGAUUGUUUCUCGCUCUUUGCUAACAGUUGCUGAGGUGGUUGUGCCUAUUGCAGUUGCUGGAAAUGCUGAUGUUGAUUCUAUUGAUGUUAACAUAGUUGCACUUCUUGUCUCUGCAGCUGUAAAUAUAUCAUUAGAUGAUGGUAUUUUUGUUGUUGGUGAUGCUGUUUCUGUUUCAGACACUGUUGUUUUACUUGGUGUUAUUGGAUCAGUUUUGGCUGUUAAAAGUUCUGUUGUGACUUGAGGAGAUGAUGCAGAUUGUAAUGCACUGAUUGUCACUGCCUCUGUUGUAGCUACUGUUUGUGUAGGCUGAAGUGUUGCCAUUACCCCUAUAGGUAUCAAAUAUAAAUCAAGUUAGUGUACAAUGUUAACAAUUGAAAAGAUUUUAAAAUAUUAUAAUUUAAUAUUAAUAUAAUAUUAAUAUAAUUUAAUAUUUGAAUGUAAUAUUAAUUAAGAUUA